This 1530-nucleotide ribosomal RNA is filed under the name Thoosa mismalolli. RNAcentral describes it as "large subunit ribosomal RNA". It matches the Rfam family "Bacterial large subunit ribosomal RNA", at positions 907 to 2732 of the family's 2925-position model. The record is from RNAcentral. Lineage: Eukaryota; Metazoa; Porifera; Demospongiae; Tetractinellida; Thoosidae.
GCACUGUAUGGAGCACCAAACAAACUAUGAAAGUAUAAGAAUAGAGUACAAUAGACAGGCUGUGGGCGAGAAGGUUCAUAGUCGAGAAGGAAACAACCUAGAUUAGAAGUUAAGGUCGUAGAGAUGCUCUAAGUGUAAUGGGGGUAAAAUAGGGAUAAAAACAAUGAGGAAGUAGGCUUUGAACCAGCCAUCUUUGAAAGAUAACGUAAUAGUUCACUCAAUAAAUUUAUAAACCUUUAAAUUAUGGCGGCUUAAGAAGUUAAAAAUUUUGUAACCGAAACUCUGAAUCUAUACGAAGGUGGUAGCAGAACGUACUGUAAUUAGUGCAAGAUGUUUGAAAUUGCGGAAGCGUUUAUCAGAAGUGACAAUGCGAACAUGAGUAAAAAACAGCGUGAAAAUCGUUGCUCAUGGCCCAAGGUUUCCAAUUUUAGGAUUUUACGAAUUGGGUUAAACCGUUCCUAAGAGUAGAUCGAUGGGUAAUAAAUAGUAAGUGUUUAAAUAAAUUAUUUACCUUAUAGACGGUAUUGCAAACUAACUCAAGUGGGCUAAAGAGUGAUGGUAUAAUUUAUCUUAAGGAACUCGGCAAAUUGUCCCUGUAAGUUCGCAAUAAAGGGAGCGGUGAAAGUAGAAGUGUAAGAACUUAAUUUGACUGGCCUUAGAGAAGAGGGGGUGUCGACUGUUUACCAAAAACAUAGCUUUCAACAAAGGACGUUUGGUUUGAAGUGUUGAAGGUGAGGCCUGCCCAAUGAUUGUAUUUAAAAUCGAGUAAUAAAAUAAGUUACUCGACUAAGAACAAUUAAAUGGCCGCGGUAACUCUGACCGCGAUAAAGUAGCGCAAUCAAUAGCCAAUUAAUUGUUGGCAAGUAUGAAUGGCUUAACGAGUGCCCCACUGUCUCAAGAUAAAUACCAAUGAAAUUGAAUUCGUAGUGAAGAUGCUACGUGCAAAUUGUUAGACAAGAAGACCCCGUUGAGCUUUACUGUAAACUUAUAUUGUUUUUUCAAUUAAUGGUAUCUGUGGGUAGGCGUAUUACUCAAAUUUUUGGUAAGAACUAAUUAUAGGUGUAAGUUAGACAGUUUGAUUGGGGCGAUUGCCUUUUAAGGAGUAACGAAGGCGCACAUAAGGUGAAUAUUGUAAAAGAAAAGCUUGACAGCAAGAGUAAUUCUCGAGCUGACACGGUUGAUGAGUUGUAAUUAAACCGUGGGUUAUAGUGACCCGUUUGUUUAGAGUGGUAAAACUAACGAUCGAUAAAUAAAAGUUACCACGGGGAUAACAGCGUAAUCUCGUUUGAGAGUUCUUAUCGAUGACGAUGUUUGCGACCUCGAUGUUGAAUUGCGGUUUCCUGGAGGUGCAGCCGCUUCCAAGGGUUGGACUGUUCGUCCAUUAAAACCGUACAUGAUUUGAGUUCAGACCGGCGUGAGCCAGGUCGGUUUAUAUCUACAAUUUGUUUAGGAAACAUUAGAAACAACUACAUUUUAGUACGAAAGGAUUGAGUGCUUAGUUAUCCGCUGGUGGACCAAUUGUAUUGCUGU